GAUGAACGCUGGCGGCGUGCUUAACACAUGCAAGUCGAACGGAAAGGCCCAAGCUUGCUUGGGUACUCGAGUGGCGAACGGGUGAGUAACACGUGGGUGAUCUGCCCUGCACUUCGGGAUAAGCCUGGGAAACUGGGUCUAAUACCGGAUAGGACCACUUCUUGGAUGUUGUGGUGGAAAGUUUUUUCGGUGUGGGAUGAGCUCGCGGCCUAUCAGCUUGUUGGUGGGGUAAUGGCCUACCAAGGCGUCGACGGGUAGCCGGCCUGAGAGGGUGUACGGCCACAUUGGGACUGAGAUACGGCCCAGACUCCUACGGGAGGCAGCAGUGGGGAAGAUUGCACAAUGGGCGCAAGCCUGAUGCAGCGACGCCGCGGGGGGGAUGACGGCCUUCGGGUUGUAAACUCCUUUCGCUAGGGACGAAGCGUUUUGUGACGGUACCUGGAGAAGAAGCACCGGCUAACUACGUG
RNAcentral lists this ribosomal RNA (467 nucleotides) under uncultured bacterium. Its description in RNAcentral is "partial 16S ribosomal RNA". It matches the Rfam family "Bacterial small subunit ribosomal RNA", at positions 28 to 507 of the family's 1533-position model. The record is from RNAcentral.